GACGAACGCUGGCGGCGUGCCUAAUACAUGCAAGUCGAACGCAGUGGGGACGGGUGAGUAACACGUGGGUAACCUACCAUCAGAGGGUAUAACACUUGGACACAGGUGCUAAACCGAUACGGAUGGAUGGCCCCGCCGUGCAUUAGCUAGUUGGUGAGGUAACGGCUCACCAAGGCCACGAUGCAUAGCCGACCUGAGAGGGUUAUCACCCCCCCUGGGACUGAGACACGGCCCAGGCUCCUCCCAUAAUCACCAUUACAAAAUCUUCAGCAAUGAACGAAAGUCUGACCGAGCAACGCCGCGUGAGUGAAGAAUUUUUUCGGAUCAUAAUACUCUGUUGUUAGAGAAGCGGUAUCUAACCAGAAAGCCACGGCUAACUACGUGCCAGCAGCCGCGGUAAUAC
This 403-nucleotide ribosomal RNA is filed under the name uncultured bacterium. Its description in RNAcentral is "partial 16S ribosomal RNA". It matches the Rfam family "Bacterial small subunit ribosomal RNA", at positions 28 to 526 of the family's 1533-position model. The record is from RNAcentral.